GCCACAGAUGUUUCUCGAACCAAUCCCCUCCUCUCCUCCCCAUUGAAGCAACCCGUGCAAAACCCUAACCCUAAAAAAGCCUCACAAAACAUUCGAAACCCUAACCUAUGUCGUCGUCGUCGAAUCGAAAUCGCAUUUAUACAGCUUGUAUUUAUAUAUCUUUUUUCCCUUUCCAUUUAUUGUACAUUUUUUUUUUUGGGUUAAUUAAGCCGUUUCGAAAUAGGCUUAUCCACUACUUCUCUUAUCAAAUUUGAUGCGCUUAAUAUUAUAAAAUUUUAAUCGAUUAAAUUAUAAAUUUUGUCAAUUGGUAUGAAAUUUCUAAUUUUUGAUUAUUAAUCCCCGUAUCUUAUAUCCUGCUACAAAGUGCACAACAAAUGAAAAUCGAAGAGAAAAAUCACAUUAUCCAAACUCGAUCAUAAUUUUGUGUAUGAAAUCAUCCUUUUGGUGGAGUAGUUAAAAAUUUAUAAUGCUUCAGCCUAUAUAUUUCUAUGAAUAAUUUCAAAUUUUUUUUUACAUUAUGUGGUUGCAAUUUCGUAAUUGUGCUAAAGAAUUGCAUAUUUUCCAGCAAGCAACCAAAAUCAAAAGCAAAAAUAUAUGCAUUGCAUCGGACUUGUACGCGCCGGCUAAAAUUGUUGGUUUGGCGUCGCUUCAAGUGUUUGCGACAUUAUAGAUGUUAUUCAUUUAGUAUUUCUAUACAUCAUAGAAGUUUCAUUUCUAGUAUUAUUGGGUUUAGUGUACAUUAUUCAUUGAAUUACUCGAGCAGUAUAUAUAUAUAUAUAUAUAUAUAUUAUGCGACUGACAUUUUAAAGAGAGGUAAAACAUAAAAUUCCAGUUGUUUGUCCCGAGGAAUUUAUGUGUGAUUUGUAUCUGCAUUGUUUAUAUAGCUGAUGAUGUGACUGGUGAAGUUUGUACAAUGCGUAUUGUUCGCUUUGUAGGAAUUUCUCUUAUUCUGCUGUGUGAUUUUCUUAAGCUGAUGAUCUUACAUAACAUAAUAAACAGUUACUGUUAUUGUGUUAGUUAUGAUGGUUCUUUAUUUAGCUUUGGAGUGGCUAUUAUAAUGAGUUGAGAUGUUGGGAACUUUAUGCUUGAAAGUUGUGUAACAAUUUUGGGAUCAUUUGCUUUCUAUGUUGCAUCUUUGUGUUGUCGACGUGGUGUUUUAGUGCUUCAACUAUGUUCUACACCCUUUGAUUAGUGCGAAUAUACAGGACUCUUAUGAUGCCUUAAAUUGUUCGUGAGCUAGCCAUUUCUUUUACUUUGAGAUGAAGCGAGCAUAUACUUGUUUGUACCUGGGAAAAUAAUAUGGUGUUCUUGAUGUAGGAAUAUAGGGUCUUCAUGAUGCUUUUAUGUGGUUGUAUUGGCGAACCCUUUGCUUAAAGAUUAGGUUAGCUCGCUGUCGCUUGCAGCGUGAGGAAUCUGGUCAAGUGUGUCGAUACUGUUAAAGUUAUUUGAAAAUCGAAACCAACACAGCGCAUGAUGUUUUCUCACCACGUGACCAGUAUUGCAUGUUUUGUCCGAGAAUUCUAGAAUGCUUAUGGGAGGUUCUUUGCUUAUUUCAAUCAUAAGCUUUUAACACGCAGGUCAGAGGCAGGAGACUGUCGAGAAGCUCUUUGUUUAAUUUAGGCACUUGAGGCUGAGGAAAUCUGUUGUCUAGUUAUAUCUGCUCGACCUCUUUAUCGGGUUUAAUUUAGAUUUGAUCAAAUCACUUGGUCAAUCUACAAUUGAUAUUAAGGGAUAUAUUCUGCUGAAAACAACCCUAGGUUAUCCUGAUGUUUCUAACCACUGAAAAAAAAACAAGGUGUAAAUAGGUACAAUUUAAGGGGUGAUGUGAAAUACAAGGGGGAAAAUUGAGAUCAUUUUGAGAACUAUGCAUAUUUUGACAGGGGAUAUUUCAUCUCAGGCCAUUUGUGUUGCAGACAAGGAUUUGGCCAGCCAAGUUGCAAACUGUAAUAUAGUUGGAUGCAAUUUAUGGGAGUUUGGUUCUUUCUGCUGAUCCAGAAGCUGCUUUUCUUGGUAGAGGACACAAGCAGAAACACACAUACUUGAGCAAGCAAGGACUCCUAGAAUCCUUCACUGGAAAUGGAAUUUAAAACCAACAAGCAGACACAAGAAAGUGCACUGGAGAAGAGCAAAAUGUAGAUUGUGUAGAGCAAUGUCAUUCUUUAUUUACUAGAUUGUCUAGAUCAAGCACUUCAUUUUUUUUUUAUUUUUUUGCCUUUGUUAAAAGGCCCACAACAUAUUGUAUGUGUUUCCCUUGGUUUUUUACAAUGUAACUCACCAAUCAUGGUACAAGAAAAACCCUAAUAAUUAAUAAAAAAUCGAUAUAUUUGAGACUCGAA
Ananas comosus (pineapple) is the source of this 2336-nucleotide long non-coding RNA. RefSeq lists it as uncharacterized. Lineage: Eukaryota; Viridiplantae; Streptophyta; Magnoliopsida; Poales; Bromeliaceae. The transcript is spliced from 7 exons. The record is from RefSeq and is a predicted model, not a curated record.